AACAGACCUCUCAGCUCUGCUCACCGUUGUUGUACGACUGCAGAAACAUCUGAAGGAGGCUGAAGCUCCCACCGAUGAAGUCUAGCAGGACGUUUCCGAUGCUCCACCCCUCUGUGCUCUGGCGACGAAAAUUCAGUAGCAAGAAAGACCAGGAGCAGAAAGCUGGUUGAGGAGUGAGCUCUUGGCUGUCACACAAGACUCCAACCUAGGCCCAUGUGCUCGUUCAUGGGAGAGGAAAACUGUCCCACCCUACCCACCAGUGUUUCCAUACAGUGAUGUUUCUUGUAGAAAGAGAGCUGUGAAAUGCACUCAGAUAUC
This is a long non-coding RNA of Alligator sinensis (Chinese alligator), 318 nucleotides long. RefSeq lists it as uncharacterized. NCBI's taxonomy places the organism in Eukaryota, Metazoa, Chordata, Crocodylia, Alligatoridae. The transcript is spliced from 3 exons. The record is from RefSeq and is a predicted model, not a curated record.